CCCAUUCCGCAAGGAAGUAAGAUCCCUGAAAGAUGAUCAGGUUGAUAGGUCUGAGGUGGAAGUGUGGCGACACAUGGAGCUGACAGAUACUAAUCGAUCGAGGACUUAACCAC
Molecule: ribosomal RNA, 113 nt
Filed under: Bacillus stercoris
Lineage: Bacteria; Bacillati; Bacillota; Bacilli; Caryophanales; Bacillaceae
Also listed under: 1 other name
Description: partial 23S ribosomal RNA
Rfam family: Bacterial large subunit ribosomal RNA
Source: RNAcentral